Long non-coding RNA from Poecilia latipinna (sailfin molly), 187 nucleotides. RefSeq lists it as uncharacterized. Lineage: Eukaryota; Metazoa; Chordata; Actinopteri; Cyprinodontiformes; Poeciliidae. The record is from RefSeq and is a predicted model, not a curated record. The transcript is spliced from 2 exons.
CCUGGCUGGGGGGCUUGAUGAGCGACAGCGGCUUGGUGGUCCCCACGGGACAGCUUCGGACGGCCAGCUUCUGCGGGAAGACAGGCAGGCAGGCAACUAAAACAGUCGAGCUUCCAGAAACACCCUACGAGUUUUAAAGACAUUUUCAUAUUCCAGCUAAUAAAUAACAACAAACCAGAACCAUCCA